UCCAUUUCCCUCUAUAACUCCUUCUCUGUCCUAAUAGCAAGCUGUGGGGCGGCCGGUAGUGUAGCGGUUAAGGUACCUGACUGGGACACGCAAGGUCGGUGGUUCGAUCCCCGGUGUAGCCACAAUAAGAUCCGCACAGCCGUUGCCCCAUGGGAGGAUUGUCUCCUGCUUAGUCUACUGUAAGUUGCUUUGGAUGAAAAGCGUCAGCCAAAUGACAUGUAAUGUAGUGAACCUAUUGAUUACUCCACGAUUGGUAUCCCUGUUGGUCUAGUUCCCCAGCUGUGUGAUCUCAAUGUCUCACACUACCGGCAUCUGGAAUCCCCCACUGCUGCUGUCUAGCCUCCCCACUACCCCCACCUGCAUGUUUCUUUAUUAAUAGAAAUGCAUUUCCAUUCAACAAUACAGCAACAGCGAAAGAACAGAAGCUGUUGGAUGAUGACAAGUUCUAUUACUAUACAGGUUCUUCCUGCCUGGCAGCAGAGAGUGAGAUGGGGGGCAUUCCUGCACUGCUUGUCUUGGCACCAGAUACCAAUAGACCUCAUUCCUGUGAAUAGGAGCCUUUCAUACUUCUCGGCAGUUGCCCACAGAUCGUAGCUGGACGUUUCCUGUUGGUUUGAAAGACGCAUGAGAUCAUCCUAACCCAGGGAGACGGACGGUGGUGCGUGAGGCGAUUCCCAAGAGGAAUGCACUGCUGCAAUUCCACAGGAAUGCUACUGGAAAAUAUGUCUGACAGGAAUAUGGAAGGGCAUCCCUUCCAAAAUUGCUAGGUCUACGUAACCCAGGAACAUGACCACCACAGAUUCGAGUGAUGUAACCACCCACAGUGUGGGUUUUGUGAGUAACUAUGUCAAUGUAAUUUUUUGUCCAAUAUGUUUAGGUCAAGUAGCACAUACCACAUCCGGCACAUUUAUGACCCAUUUGAAUAAUGAUGCUACCAAAUAUAAAUACUGUUCAUUUGAAUUUUAGGUCGUCUCCUAGGAAAGUCUGAGUGCUUCAAACAAUCAACUGUGAACAGUGGUUUGUUUCACAGCACCUGAAACAGAGGUUCAAUUGUAGCAUUAAUGGAAUUCCUCCUGAGCUACGAAAAGCCGAUUAGGGCUUGUCUUACCUCACAAAUCCCAGAACAUCUGUUUCAGGUUAAAGUUUCAAACGAUACUGUUGUUGGCCCAAUGUCAGCCUGUCAAAAUAUGCUAACUACUUAUCUGUGUUCU
Molecule: long non-coding RNA, 1211 nt
Organism: Conger conger (European conger)
Lineage: Eukaryota; Metazoa; Chordata; Actinopteri; Anguilliformes; Congridae
Exons: 3
Source: RefSeq, a predicted model, not a curated record